RNAcentral lists this ribosomal RNA (1520 nucleotides) under Klebsiella variicola. Its description in RNAcentral is "bacterial SSU rRNA". It matches the Rfam family "Bacterial small subunit ribosomal RNA". The record is from RNAcentral. Lineage: Bacteria; Pseudomonadati; Pseudomonadota; Gammaproteobacteria; Enterobacterales; Enterobacteriaceae.
AGAGUUUGAUCAUGGCUCAGAUUGAACGCUGGCGGCAGGCCUAACACAUGCAAGUCGAGCGGUAGCACAGAGAGCUUGCUCUCGGGUGACGAGCGGCGGACGGGUGAGUAAUGUCUGGGAAACUGCCUGAUGGAGGGGGAUAACUACUGGAAACGGUAGCUAAUACCGCAUAACGUCGCAAGACCAAAGUGGGGGACCUUCGGGCCUCAUGCCAUCAGAUGUGCCCAGAUGGGAUUAGCUAGUAGGUGGGGUAACGGCUCACCUAGGCGACGAUCCCUAGCUGGUCUGAGAGGAUGACCAGCCACACUGGAACUGAGACACGGUCCAGACUCCUACGGGAGGCAGCAGUGGGGAAUAUUGCACAAUGGGCGCAAGCCUGAUGCAGCCAUGCCGCGUGUGUGAAGAAGGCCUUCGGGUUGUAAAGCACUUUCAGCGGGGAGGAAGGCGGUGAGGUUAAUAACCUCACCGAUUGACGUUACCCGCAGAAGAAGCACCGGCUAACUCCGUGCCAGCAGCCGCGGUAAUACGGAGGGUGCAAGCGUUAAUCGGAAUUACUGGGCGUAAAGCGCACGCAGGCGGUCUGUCAAGUCGGAUGUGAAAUCCCCGGGCUCAACCUGGGAACUGCAUUCGAAACUGGCAGGCUAGAGUCUUGUAGAGGGGGGUAGAAUUCCAGGUGUAGCGGUGAAAUGCGUAGAGAUCUGGAGGAAUACCGGUGGCGAAGGCGGCCCCCUGGACAAAGACUGACGCUCAGGUGCGAAAGCGUGGGGAGCAAACAGGAUUAGAUACCCUGGUAGUCCACGCUGUAAACGAUGUCGAUUUGGAGGUUGUGCCCUUGAGGCGUGGCUUCCGGAGCUAACGCGUUAAAUCGACCGCCUGGGGAGUACGGCCGCAAGGUUAAAACUCAAAUGAAUUGACGGGGGCCCGCACAAGCGGUGGAGCAUGUGGUUUAAUUCGAUGCAACGCGAAGAACCUUACCUGGUCUUGACAUCCACAGAACUUUCCAGAGAUGGAUUGGUGCCUUCGGGAACUGUGAGACAGGUGCUGCAUGGCUGUCGUCAGCUCGUGUUGUGAAAUGUUGGGUUAAGUCCCGCAACGAGCGCAACCCUUAUCCUUUGUUGCCAGCGGUCAGGCCGGGAACUCAAAGGAGACUGCCAGUGAUAAACUGGAGGAAGGUGGGGAUGACGUCAAGUCAUCAUGGCCCUUACGACCAGGGCUACACACGUGCUACAAUGGCAUAUACAAAGAGAAGCGACCUCGCGAGAGCAAGCGGACCUCAUAAAGUAUGUCGUAGUCCGGAUUGGAGUCUGCAACUCGACUCCAUGAAGUCGGAAUCGCUAGUAAUCGUAGAUCAGAAUGCUACGGUGAAUACGUUCCCGGGCCUUGUACACACCGCCCGUCACACCAUGGGAGUGGGUUGCAAAAGAAGUAGGUAGCUUAACCUUCGGGAGGGCGCUUACCACUUUGUGAUUCAUGACUGGGGUGAAGUCGUAACAAGGUAACCGUAGGGGAACCUGCGGUUG